Molecule: ribosomal RNA, 460 nt
Filed under: uncultured bacterium
Lineage: Bacteria
Description: partial 16S ribosomal RNA
Rfam family: Bacterial small subunit ribosomal RNA
Source: RNAcentral
CCUACGGGGGGCAGCAGUGAGGAAUAUUGGUCAAUGGACGAAAGCCUGAACCAGCCAAGUAGCGUGAAGGAUGACUGCCCUAUGGGUUGUAAACUUCUUUUAUAUGGGAGUAAAAUGUUCCACGUGUGGGAUUUUGUAUGUACCAUAUGAAUAAGGAUCGGCUAACCCCGUGCCAGCCGCCGCGGUAAUACGGAGGAUCCGAGGCGUGUCCGGUUUUAUUGGGUUUAAAGGGAGCGGAGGUGGGUUGUUAAGUUAGUUGUGAAAGUGUGAGGCUCAACCGUAAAAUUGCAGUUGAAACUGGCAGUCUUGAGUACAGUAGAGGUGGGCGGAAUGCGUGGUGUAGCGGUGAAAUGCUUAGAUAUCACGAAGAACUCCGAUUGCGAAGGCAGUUCACUGGACUGCAACUGACACUGAGGCACGAAAGUGUGGGGAUCAAACAGGAUUAGAUACCCUUGUAGUC